GGAAUCUUGCGCAAUGGGCGAAAGCCUGACGCAGCAACGCCGCGUGCGGGAAGAAGGCCUUCGGGUUGUAAACCGCUUUCAGCAGGAAAGAAAAUGACGGUACCUGCAGAAGAAGGUGCGGCCAACUACGCGCCAGCAGCCGCGGUGACACGUAGGCACCAAGCGUUGUCCGGAUUUAUUGGGCGUAAAGAGCUCGUAGGCGGUUCAGUAAGUCGGGUGUGAAAACUUUGGGCCUAACCCAAAGCCUGCACUCGAAACUGCUGUGACUAGAGUUCGGUAGGGGAGCGGGGAAUUCCUGGUGUAGCGGUGAAAUGCGCAGAUAUCAGGAGGAACACCGGUGGCGAAGGCGCCGCUCUGGGCCGACACUGACGCUGAGGAGCGAAAGCGUGGGUAGCAAACAGGAUUGGAUACCCUGGUAGUCCACGCCGUAAACGUUGGGCACUAGGUGUGGGUCUCUGCUAACGAGAUCCGCGCCGUCGCUAACGCAUUAAGUGCCCCGCCUGGGGAGUACGGUCGCAAGACUAAAACUCAAAUGAAUUGACGG
Molecule: ribosomal RNA, 544 nt
Filed under: uncultured bacterium
Lineage: Bacteria
Description: bacterial SSU rRNA
Rfam family: Bacterial small subunit ribosomal RNA
Source: RNAcentral